UGGAAUGGCUUACGAGACCAACAAUGAGAUUAUCGUUGACCUCGGAGUCAAGCCAAC
Molecule: microRNA precursor, 57 nt
Filed under: Caenorhabditis briggsae
Lineage: Eukaryota; Metazoa; Nematoda; Chromadorea; Rhabditida; Rhabditidae
Description: microRNA cbr-mir-7596 precursor
Source: miRBase by way of RNAcentral